This 588-nucleotide unclassified non-coding RNA is filed under the name Hevea brasiliensis (rubber tree). Lineage: Eukaryota; Viridiplantae; Streptophyta; Magnoliopsida; Malpighiales; Euphorbiaceae. The record is from RNAcentral.
GUGUAAACAGAUAGUGAGUUACUAUAAUAGAUUACACACAGUGAAUACCAGAAAAAAAAAAAGUCCCCAAAAAUUAGGUUCAACAUCUGAGCCAUGAGCAAAAUGAAACUUCUUUUCUGGAUAGAUCGGUGACAGAAUUAUGUCCUAAACCUAGCAUAGCUACAUAUACCACAAGAUAAUCACAUAAAUUACUGAUGGCCUAUAGUUUGGACAAAGCACACCAUUGUUUUCAGCACUAUACAUUCCACACGACAACAUCAUAAAGCUACAUCUGCAAGAGCAGCCUCAUCUCCCCAUGCAUUUUGUUAAUCUCCCACCUGCAUUCUAUCUCUUCCGUCGCUUGGUCUCUAACUUGCCAUCGGCUGCCGGUGACGAAGAAAAUCCAUUCUGUGAUCUUUUGAUAUCAUCAUCUGAUCCACAUUCAGAACAAACAAAGUGAUCUAACUUCUUUGCUUCUUCAAUGGUCAUGCCCACACAAGCAGGAUGAUACCAGUCCUUGCAACCUUCGCAUUGCACCAUAAGAUCAUCCGGGUUAUAUGGCAUCUCGCAUUUACAAUACACAGCAACGCGGUCAGGCGUGAAGCCUCC